Long non-coding RNA from Syzygium oleosum, 480 nucleotides. RefSeq lists it as uncharacterized. The transcript is spliced from 2 exons. Lineage: Eukaryota; Viridiplantae; Streptophyta; Magnoliopsida; Myrtales; Myrtaceae. The record is from RefSeq and is a predicted model, not a curated record.
UCUCUCUCUUCAUUUGUAAAUCAAGUUUACACAUCAAUAUUAUUAUCUUCCAAUCAUUGUGAAACCUAUAUUUAUUGUGGGGAAAUCUAGGUUUAAUUAAUGAAACUAGUGUUUUUCUAUAAUAUGGCAGAGUGCAAUUUGCAGCUCUCCCCCGAAAAAAGAGGGAUAAUUUUAUUGGAUCCAGCUCUUUAUUGAACACUGAGUCCUAUACGGACUCCAGGAAUGGAUGCUUUGUUGGUCAGCAAGGAGCUAUUUUCAAGCUUUUCUCACUCCACAACGCCAUUGAUUUUUCUACUUCUUGGCCCAUGUAACUGCGAGUCUAAGGCCUGUAGAAUCUUGCAUACAAGAGCAUGAUUUUUACCCCUUUUAUAAAAUAUUUAUGAAAUAAAGCCAAACUAUGAGCUUAUCUGAGGUUAUAUGAAUUAUUCAUGCAAAGCAUGUUAAUGUGCGUGUACUUAGACAAUGCUAUUGCAUACAUCU